GGCUCAUCACAUCCUGGGGCUGUAGUAGGUCCCAAGGGUUGGGCUGUUCGCCCAUUAAAGUGGUACGCGAGCUGGGUUCAGAACGUCGUGAGACAGUUCGGUCCCUAUCCGUCGCAGGCGUAGGAAAUUUGAGAAGACCUGUCCUUAGUACGAGAGGACCGGGAUGGACGUACCUCUGGUGUACCAGUUGUCCUGCCAAGGGCAUGGCUGGGUAGCUAUGUACGGAAUGGAUAAGCGCUGAAAGCAUCUAAGCGCGAAGCCAACUUCAAGAUAAGAUUUCCCACCGCAAGGGUAAGACCCCAGAAAGACUAUCUGGUUGAUAGGUCGAAGGUGUAAGUGCAGCAAUGUAUUUAGCUUAUCGAUACUAAUAGGUCGAGGACUUGACCAAU
Molecule: ribosomal RNA, 389 nt
Filed under: Clostridioides difficile
Lineage: Bacteria; Bacillati; Bacillota; Clostridia; Peptostreptococcales; Peptostreptococcaceae
Description: partial 23S ribosomal RNA
Rfam family: Bacterial large subunit ribosomal RNA
Source: RNAcentral